CGAUAUAAACAACACCGAGCCUGCAUUCCUAAGUCAUCGAUAAGUGAGCGAUACGGGAUGUAGGCCGCGAGCGGUAAAACCGCCCGCCAGGGUCGCAAGGGAAACCGAACGGCCUCCCGCAUUUGGAAAGGUGAUGAAGGAAAACCGCG
Molecule: non-coding RNA, 149 nt
Filed under: Microbulbifer agarilyticus
Lineage: Bacteria; Pseudomonadati; Pseudomonadota; Gammaproteobacteria; Cellvibrionales; Microbulbiferaceae
Description: MoCo sequence
Rfam family: Molybdenum/Tungsten riboswitch aptamer (Moco RNA motif)
Source: Rfam by way of RNAcentral